This 464-nucleotide ribosomal RNA is filed under the name uncultured bacterium. RNAcentral describes it as "bacterial SSU rRNA". It matches the Rfam family "Bacterial small subunit ribosomal RNA", at positions 29 to 486 of the family's 1533-position model. The record is from RNAcentral.
AACGAACGCUGGCGGCGCGCCUAAUACAUGCAAGUCGAGCGAGAAGACGUAGCAAUACGUUUGUAAAGCGGCGAACGGGUGAGGAAUACAUGGGUAACCUACCCUCGAGUGGGGAAUAACUAGCCGAAAGGUUAGCUAAUACCGCGUACGCUCCUCGGACUUCGGUUCAGGGAGGAAAGCGAUACCGUGGGUAUCGCGCUCUUGGAUGGGCUCAUGUCCUAUCAGCUUGUUGGUGAGGUAACGGCUCACCAAGGCUUCGACGGGUAGCUGGUCUGAGAGGACGAUCAGCCACACUGGCACUGCGACACGGGCCAGACUCCUACGGGAGGCAGCAGUAAGGAAUAUUGCGCAAUGGGCGAAAGCCUGACGCAGCGACGCCGCGUGGGGGAUGAAGGUCUUCGGAUUGUAAACCCCUUUCGGGAGGGAAGAUGGAACGAGCAAUCGUUCGGACGGUACCUCCAGAA